RNAcentral lists this ribosomal RNA (253 nucleotides) under uncultured bacterium. RNAcentral's name for it is "partial 16S ribosomal RNA". It matches the Rfam family "Bacterial small subunit ribosomal RNA", at positions 524 to 776 of the family's 1533-position model. The record is from RNAcentral.
UACGGAGGGUGCAAGCGUUAUCCGGAUUCACUGGGUUUAAAGGGUGCGUAGGCGGCAUAUCAAGUCAAAGGUGAAAGCCUGCAGCUCAACUGUGGAAUUGCCUUUGAAACUGGUAUGCUUGAAUCUGGUUGAAGUGGCUGGAAUAUAUCAUGUAGCGGUGAAAUGCUUAGAUAUGAUGUAGAACACCGAUUGCGAAGGCAGGUCACUAAGCCAACAUUGACGCUGAGGCACGAAAGCGUGGGUAGCGAACAGG